AUGGGAUCCCCAACGGUGGCCCCCGCGCCCCUCCUCGCCGCCGCCCCGGACGGCGGCGAGGCGGACGCCAACGGCGACCACGAGCGGCAGCAGCAGCUCCAGAUCGUCCCCUCCUCCGCCGUCCCCGCCCCCUCCAAGCCGCCCGAGCCGGCGCCGACGGUGGCCACCCACACGCGCACCAUCGGCAUCAUCCACCCGCCGCCCGACAUCCGCGUCAUCAUCGAGAAGACGGCCACCUUCGUCGCCAAGAACGGGCCCGAGUUCGAGCGCCGCAUCGUCGCCCACAACCAGGGCAACGCCAAGUUCAACUUCCUCCAGCCCUCCGACCCCUACCACGCCUACUACCAGCACCGCGUCUCCGAGAUCGCCGACGCGCCGCCCGCCCCCGACGCCGCCGCCACCGACCCCGACGCUCUCCCCUCGGACGACUCCGCCGCCGACGGCAAGCCCGCCGACGACCACUCCGCGCCCUUCCGCGUCGGCCCGCCCGCCAAGGUGCUGGUGCCGCCCAAGGCCGAGCUCUACACCGUGCGCCUCCCCGAGGGCAUCACCACCGAGGAGGUGGACAUCGUCAAGCUGACGGCGCAGUUCGUCGCCCGCAACGGCAAGACCUUCCUGGCCAGCCUCGCGUCCCGGGAGAGCACCAACCCGCAGUUCAACUUCCUCCGCCCCACCCACAGCAUGUUCCCCUUCUUCACCGCGCUCGCCGACAUCUACUCGAGGGUCAUGAGGCCUGACGAGGGCGUGGCCGCCCUCAUGAGGGAGCUCAAGGAGGGGACCAAGGACCUCACCACGGUGCUGGAGCGCUGCCUCAACCGGCUCGAGUGGGACCGGUCGCAGGAGCAGGCCAAGCAGCAGGCGGAGGAUGAGGUUGAGAUGGAGAGGAUGCAGAUGUCCAUGAUUGAUUGGCAUGAUUUCGUCGUUGUCGAGACUAUUGAGUUUGAUGAUGAUGAGUUUGAGGGCCUCCCUGUGCCGCCUACGCUGGAAGAGCUGAAGCGCCGCAAGAGGAUGGAGACCUUGGGAGAGGAGGAGCCCAUGGAAUUGGCUGAACCAGCCAAGGAUGUUGAGAUGGAGAUGGAUGAGGAGGAGAUGCAGCUUGUCGAGGAAGGAAUGAAGGCAGCAAGGCUCGAUGAGAAUGAUGGAGGAGCACAAGUUAAGGUGGCCAGUAAUGAUGAUGAGCCGCCUAUGAGAAUUGUCAAAAACUACAAGAGGCCUGAGGAGAGGAUCCCUGCGGAGAGGGACCCGACCAAGGUUGUUGUCUCACCAAUAACCGGGGAGCUCAUUCCGAUCAGCGAGAUGGAGGAACACAUGCGCAUCUCGCUCAUUGACCCCAAGUACAAGGAACAGAAAGAAAGAAUGCUGGCCAAGAUUAAGGAAACCACUCUUGCUCCUGAUGAUGAGAUCUCCCGUAACAUUAUUGGUCUUGCACGUACGAGGCCAGAUAUUUUUGGAACCACCGAGGAAGAGGUUUCUAAUGCCGUCAAGGCAGAAAUUGAAAAGAAAAAGGAUGAGCAGCCAAAGCAGGUUAUUUGGGAUGGUCAUUCUGGGAGCAUCGGUUGGACAGCCACUCAGGCAAUGUCUGUCGGUGGAGAAGAACAGGGUGAUGCCUCGAAUGCUCCAGGUCCAGCUCCACUUCCCCGGCCUGGCAUGCCGUUGCCCCGGCCUCCCCAACCACUUUCCUUGGUCAAUGUUCCCCGAUUUACACCCAAUCCAAUGCCUUAUCAUGUCCAACCCCCUCAUCAUAUGCAAGGAGUUCCACCACAUAUGAUGUCCAACAUGCACCAACCUCUGCCACCAGGUCAACAACACAUGAUUAGGAUGUCAGGUCCCAUGGGUCAUAUGCCAAGUAAUAUCCCUCCGCCGCCUCCAGGCCAUAAUACUCAGUUCAUGCCUGGUCCACCACGGUUUGCUAUGCCCCCUCCCCCGCACAUGCAGAACAUGCCAACCAUGGUCAACCCCAUCGGAAUCCCCCAGCCUCCACCACCUUUGCCUCCACAACCACCUGCCGAGGAGCAGCCACCUCUACCUGAGGAACCAGAACCUAAGAGGCAGAGAACAGAUGAUGCUUCUCUGAUCCCAGCUGAGCAGUUCCUCGCUCAGCAUCCGGGCCCUGCUCGCAUCUCAGUUUCUGUGCCCAACCUUGAUGAAGGAAACUUGCGAGGCCAAGUUUUGGAAAUCUCUGUCCAAUCACUCUCAGACACAGUCGGCAGUCUGAAGGAGCAAAUUGCUGGAGAGCUGCAGCUUCCUGCUAAUAAGCAGAAGCUGAGUGUGAGGACUAGUUUCCUCAAGGACAAUCUUUCUCUUGCUUAUUACAAUGUGGGCCCUGGGGUGGUCAUCAAUCUAGCUCUCAGGGAGCGUGGUGGGAGAAAGAAAUGA
Molecule: ribosomal RNA, 2376 nt
Filed under: Triticum aestivum (bread wheat)
Lineage: Eukaryota; Viridiplantae; Streptophyta; Magnoliopsida; Poales; Poaceae
Description: partial small subunit ribosomal RNA
Source: RNAcentral